Molecule: long non-coding RNA, 290 nt
Filed under: Olea europaea (common olive)
Lineage: Eukaryota; Viridiplantae; Streptophyta; Magnoliopsida; Lamiales; Oleaceae
Description: long non-coding RNA (OEUR_LNC007361)
Source: RNAcentral
UUCAUUAUUCUUGCUGGCACAAGAAAAAAACCCUAGAGGCUGCAAUCAUAUUCUUUGUGUGGAUCACCGUUGGAGGCUGGACAAUUGGACAGCUGUGGUGGCGAAUCAAAGUUGUGGAACGAAAAGAAAAGCAAAAGGAUUGCAGAUCUGGAAAAGGUACAAUCUUAUCACAAUUUCUAACCAAACACAAUGAGAUCUAUUGGAUGGGAAUCGAAAUAUAUUUUAAAUUCCGCUGUGCAUGUAUAAGUAGAUUCCCAACAGUGGUAUCAGAGCCUACUUUGUGUUUGUUA